ACUACGGGUGGCAGCAGUGGGGGAUAUUGCACAAUGGGGGAAACCCUGAUGCAGCGACGCCGCGUGUGGGAAGACGGUCCUCUGGAUUGUAAACCACUGUCCCCAGGGACGAAGAUGACGGUACCUGGGGAGGAAGCUCCGGCUAACUACGUGCCAGCAGCGGCGGUAAUACGUAGGGAGCGAGCGUUGUCCGGAAUUACGGGGUGUAAAGGGAGCGUAGGCGGGACUGCAAGUUGGGUGUCAAAUCUACCGGCUCAACCGGUAGCCGCACUCAAAACUGCAGUUCUUGAGUGAAGUAGAGGCAGGCGGAAUUCCUAGUGUAGCGGUGAAAUGCGUAGAUAUUAGGAGGAACACCAGUGGCGAAGGCGGCCUGCUGGGCUUUUACUGACGCUAAGGCUCGAAAGUGUGGGGAGCAAACAGGAUUAGAUACCCGGGUAGUC
This 440-nucleotide ribosomal RNA is filed under the name uncultured bacterium. RNAcentral's name for it is "partial 16S ribosomal RNA". It matches the Rfam family "Bacterial small subunit ribosomal RNA", at positions 338 to 795 of the family's 1533-position model. The record is from RNAcentral.